This 1287-nucleotide ribosomal RNA is filed under the name metagenome. Its description in RNAcentral is "bacterial SSU rRNA". It matches the Rfam family "Bacterial small subunit ribosomal RNA", at positions 242 to 1520 of the family's 1533-position model. The record is from RNAcentral.
UAGCUAGUUGGUGAGGUAACGGCUUACCAAGGCGACGAUCUGUAGCGGGUCUGAGAGGAUGAUCCGCCACACUGGAACUGAGACACGGUCCAGACUCCUACGGGAGGCAGCAGUGGGGAAUUUUGAACAAUGGGGGCAACCCUGAUCCAGCCAUGCCGCGUGAGUGAAGAAGGCCUUCGGGUUGUAAAGCUCUUUCGGCCGGGAAGAAAUCGCAUGGGCCAAUACCCUGUGUGGAUGACGGUACCGGAAUAAGAAGCACCGGCUAACUACGUGCCAGCAGCCGCGGUAAUACGUAGGGUGCGAGCGUUAAUCGGAAUUACUGGGCGUAAAGCGUGCGCAGGCGGUUUUGUAAGACAGGCGUGAAAUCCCCGGGCUCAACCUGGGAACUGCGUUUGUGACUGCAAGGCUAGAGUACGGCAGAGGGGGGUGGAAUUCCACGUGUAGCAGUGAAAUGCGUAGAGAUGUGGAGGAACACCAAUGGCGAAGGCAGCCCCCUGGGUCGAUACUGACGCUCAUGCACGAAAGCGUGGGUAGCAAACAGGAUUAGAUACCCUGGUAGUCCACGCCCUAAACUAUGUCAACUAGGUGUUGGGUGGGUAAAACCAUUUAGUACCGUAGCUAACGCGUGAAGUUGACCGCCUGGGGAGUACGGCCGCAAGGUUAAAACUCAAAGGAAUUGACGGUGACCCGCACAAGCGGUGGAUGAUGUGGAUUAAUUCGAUGCAACGCGAAAAACCUUACCUACCCUUGACAUGCCAGGAACUUGCCAGAGAUGGCUUGGUGCCCGAAAGGGAGCCUGGACACAGGUGCUGCAUGGCUGUCGUCAGCUCGUGUCGUGAGAUGUUGGGUUAAGUCCCGCAACGAGCGCAACCCUUGUCGUUAAUUGCCAUCAUUUAGUUGGGCACCUUAGCGAGACUGCCGGUGACAAACCGGAGGAAGGUGGGGAUGACGUCAAGUCCUCAUGGCCCUUAUGGGUAGGGCUUCACACGUCAUACAAUGGUCGGUACAAAGGGUCGCCAAGCCGCGAGGUGGAGCCAAUCCCAGAAAGCCGAUCGUAGUCCGGAUUGCAGGCUGCAACUCGCCUGCAUGAAGUCGGAAUCGCUAGUAAUCGUGGAUCAGCAUGUCACGGUGAAUACGUUCCCGGGUCUUGUACACACCGCCCGUCACACCAUGGGAGCGGGUUCCGCCAGAAGUAGGUAGCCUAACCGCAAGGAGGGCGCUUACCACGGCGGGGUUCGUGACUGGGGUGAAGUCGUAACAAGGUAGCCGUAGGGGAACCUGCGGCUG